RNAcentral lists this ribosomal RNA (228 nucleotides) under uncultured bacterium. Its description in RNAcentral is "partial 16S ribosomal RNA". It matches the Rfam family "Bacterial small subunit ribosomal RNA", at positions 103 to 334 of the family's 1533-position model. The record is from RNAcentral.
CGGGUGAGUAAUGUCUGGGAAACUGCCUGAUGGAGGGGGAUAACUACUGGAAACGGUAGCUAAUACCGCAUAACGUCGCAAGACCAAAGAGGGGGACCUUAGGGCCUCUUGCCAUCGGAUGUGCCCAGAUGGGAUUAGCUAGUAGGUGGGGUAACGGCUCACCUAGGCGACGAUCCCUAGCUGGUCUGAGAGGAUGACCAGCCACACUGGAACUGAGACACGGUCCAG